GAUCAUGGCUCAGAUUGAACGCUGGUGGCAGGCCUAACACAUGCAAGUCGAGCGGCAUCGAGUGAGCACAGUUUACUGAGUUCAUGUCGGCGAGCGGCGGACGGGUGAGUAAAGUCUGGGAAUCUGGCCGACGGAGGGGGAUAACUGCUGGAAACGGCAGCUAAUACCGCAUGAAGUCGUGAGACCAAAGUGGGGGGACCUUCGGGCCGUCACGCCGUCGGAUGAGCCCACGA
This 233-nucleotide ribosomal RNA is filed under the name uncultured bacterium. RNAcentral's name for it is "partial 16S ribosomal RNA". It matches the Rfam family "Bacterial small subunit ribosomal RNA", at positions 15 to 236 of the family's 1533-position model. The record is from RNAcentral.